AUAAAAAAAAAUUAUAUGAAAUUUCAGGCGGAUCUGAUUUUUACUCUUUCUUUUUUUCGGAUCAGUAGAAGUAGAACUUACCAAGUUUUUGCAUAUGUAAAAAAAUUAUAUUUCUCUUAGAAUCACUGUCAUGGUCGUCGGUCACUGGCGGUGACGACGUUCACAGGAGAGGAUGAGUGGUUGGCAAAAGAAGAGAAUGUCGAUGAUUCAGUGGCGUCGAUCGAUUUAGACAUAAAUUUUGAAACCGAGGUUUCGAAGUUACGAGGUCAAUGGGAGUUGGCAUCGGUUUUGAACUUCUUGAAUAUUUUCGAGCCAGUAAUUGGGAAAAGCUUGAAGAUAUUGGCGGAAGUGAUUGAAAAGGGUUUAAUAGAGCCUGAGAGUUCAUUAGCUGAACUCCACAUUGCACUUUUGAAGGGCAUAUCACUUGUAAGUAAAAUGUUAAAUGGUUCUAAUACAUGGGUGAUUAUACUUAAUAAGAAGCUUGUCCCAUGGUGGCCUUGGGUGUAUAAAUUUCAGGUUGUUGAAGGGGAGAUCCUAAUAAAGGCUUUUAAAGGAGAGGAGAUAUCAAAUUACAAGAAACUUGAUCCUACAAGACACUUGCUGCUUCAAGCUCUAUGUGAAAUUCGAGCAGAUGGACUACUUUGCAUCUUUCUUCAGUUUCACUGCAUACUUUAUGACCCUUCAUUAUUCUUAUUACCAUCAUGUUUCAGAUCUUCGAUUAACAUUAUCUAAUUUUAUUUGGUCCAUGUUUCUUAUUAAAUGAAUUUGAGUGAACUAUUUUGGAUUUUUUUUCCUAAUAAAAGAUUUUGUUCCGUAGAUUUUUAUGGCCCUUAUGUUUUUCUCUUUAUUCAUCUAACACAUGUCAUAAUAUUUCACACUAAGAGGUCUUUAUCAACCAAAAAGAUAGAUUUGGUGGAGAUGGAAAUAUAAUUUCUUAUCGGUAAUUUCUUGAAGUUAGUUGUCUACAUCAAAUUUCUGAAAUCUGAUUAUCAAUUGUAUUGGUAAUUCUUACUGUGAUUUUAGGUAUGAUGGGAAUCCAUUUGUUGGUUAUAGACUAUAAGGGAAGUUAUCAAAUGUGAUACAAAGAUAAAAGGUAAUCAGAAGGGAAGUAUGGCCCUUCCAAUGUUUAGCACUCAAUGGGAAACAAUGGCUACAAAUCUCGAGGAAUUUCAUAAAGUUAAAGACAACUUUUUAUGCAGAAAAAUCACCUGUGAAGUUGCUGUUGGAAGGAAAAUUGAAUCUGAUGCCAUUCAAGUGGAUAUAAAGCUUCUGCUUUGUAUGCUGCAAAAGAAGGAGAAGUCAUUGAAACGCAAGCAUAGGGAGGACAAGCUCUUGAAUGACUUUAACAAGUCCUGUAUAAUUGGAGUUACACGCACUUGUUACAUUCAUGCACCCGUGAACUAUACAUUCGAUGUAGAAUAAAGUUCCCUUUACUUU
Non-coding RNA from Benincasa hispida (wax gourd), 1437 nucleotides. The record is from RefSeq and is a predicted model, not a curated record. NCBI's taxonomy places the organism in Eukaryota, Viridiplantae, Streptophyta, Magnoliopsida, Cucurbitales, Cucurbitaceae.